AGUGAACGCUGGCGGUAGGCCUAACACAUGCAAGUCGAACGGCAGCACAGUAAGAGCUUGCUCUUACGGGUGGCGAGUGGCGGACGGGUGAGGAAUACAUCGGAAUCUACUUUUUCGUGGGGGAUAACGUAGGGAAACUUACGCUAAUACCGCAUACGACCUACGGGUGAAAGCAGGGGAUCUUCGGACCUUGCGCGAUUGAAUGAGCCGAUGUCGGAUUAGCUAGUUGGCGGGGUAAAGGCCCACCAAGGCGACGAUCCGUAGCUGGUCUGAGAGGAUGGUCGGCCACACUGGAACGGAGACACGCUCCAGACUCCUACGGGAGGCAGCAGUGGGGAAUAUUGGACAAUGGGCGCAAGCCUGAUCCAGCCAUACCGCGUGGGUGAAGAAGGCCUUCGGGUUGUAAAGCCCUUUUGUUGGGAAAGAAAAGCAGCAGGUUAAUACCCCGCUGUUCUGACGGUACCCAAAGAAUAAGCACCGGCUAACUUCGUG
RNAcentral lists this ribosomal RNA (492 nucleotides) under uncultured bacterium. RNAcentral describes it as "partial 16S ribosomal RNA". It matches the Rfam family "Bacterial small subunit ribosomal RNA", at positions 29 to 507 of the family's 1533-position model. The record is from RNAcentral.